AAUAAGGAAUAAGAAAUUAUUCAUGCAAAAGAGAAUAACUUAGUGCAAUACUUUGUGAAGAGGAUUUUACAUAUGUUUUGAGAAGACAAAGUGAAAGAGACUACACUAUGUUGCUAACAUCACGUGGUACCGCAAUUGUGGAAUGCAAAAACCUCCACUUUAAAUAUUCUAACACUAAGAAUUGGUUGUUAGGUAAAAACAGUAGUAAGAUAGAAUAGGAUUGGGACAAGUCCCUUCCCUUUUCUUCUUCUCGAUCGGUGGCCACAUAAGACUCCAAAUUUGACAACCAUAUGCCUCCUCCUUGGCAAAUUCUUGCAUCAGAAUGACAGCAACAUAGGCAAGAGUACCUACAUUUGUGAUACCAAAAUAGUUAAAGGAAGAAGAUCAAGUAUAGUAAGGACAAAUAUGACAUCACAAAAAAAGAAAGGAAAUGGGCAGCUAGCAUAGGGGCAGCCGAGACACCCCUACAAACUCAUGAGAUCAGCCAGUUUAGGGUCCCAACACUUGCACAAAUUAAGUAAGGAGGCAUUGUGCCAAGUCCAAAAAGAGAUAGAGCUGUCAGCCCCAAAGUAGAGUUUUUGUCCCCAAGUUUUAGUCACAAACAGCCAAGAAAUGUGGCUAUAUAAACCACCCAAGACCACUCCUCUCCCACACCUCUCAAGCACCCCAAAGUUCGAGUAUUAUUAAGGAGUAUCAAAGGAGAGGCAGUGGCAAGGAGCAAGGAGGGCAGCCAAGAAACAAAGGAUUCACCAAGUGAGAAUUUACUGAAAUCAUUUCACAAGGGAUCUCCUAAAGAAUGGUGUUUGGGGGCAUCUUCUUGAAGAAACAUCAGGUAUGAAGUUAAAAUUAAUGGUAGUUUUGUAGGGGAUUUUACUGAUAAUAUUUGUCAUGAGCUUAGCUUACUCGGUUUGAUUUCUAGCUGUGAAAUUAACAAGGCAAGUCCUUCACAUCCCACUUCCCACUUGCUAUGGUCAUCCAACUUCUUUAAAUGGAAAAGAAAACGCAAGUGAUGUUAGUUCUAGAGUUAUUGCAGAACAUAUAGAGAGUUUAUGUAUAUAUAUGUUUGGUAAGUUUUGGUUAAUUACCCUUUAAUAUCAUUGGAAAACACUAGUUUUAAUGCUGAUGUAUAUGUGUGUGGCUUCAGGUGGUGGAUACUAGAGAGGAAGUUAUUUUUUUUAAAAUUAACUCCUAUAUAAGGGAGAAAAUUACAAAUAAACUCCUAUAUUAUAGAUAGAAGGAAAUUACAACUGAUGUCAAGAGGGCUCGAACUCAGCACCUCAUAGAAGAUGUGCCCAAAGAUGAACAAGAUAAGUUUGAUCAAAGAUUUGAAAGGAAAGAGACGAAGUUCAUGAGACUGGGAAUGAAUAAGAUAUGUGUAGUUGAUAAAUUUGCCAACAAUAGUCCCACCAAACAUGAGACAGAGAAGCUACAUGAAUCGUUAUUUUGUUAAUUUGCACUGAUGCUCAACAUUAUUAAAUUUUGGUGUUAUGAGUAAUUAAUGAAUAUUCGUGUAUC
Salvia splendens (bonfire salvia) is the source of this 1515-nucleotide long non-coding RNA. RefSeq lists it as uncharacterized. The transcript has 2 exons. The record is from RefSeq and is a predicted model, not a curated record. Lineage: Eukaryota; Viridiplantae; Streptophyta; Magnoliopsida; Lamiales; Lamiaceae.